UACGUAGGGUGCAAGCGUUGUCCGGAAUUAUUGGGCGUAAAGCGCUCGCAGGCGGUCCGAUGCGUCGUGCGUGAAAGACCCCGGCUCAACUGGGGAGGGUCGUGCGAUACGGUCGGACUCGAGGCCAGUAGGGGGACGCGGAAUUCCGGGUGUAGUGGUGGAAUGCGUAGAGAUCCGGAGGAACACCAGCGGCGAAGGCGGCGUCCUGGACUGGUACUGACGCUCAGGAGCGAAAGCGUGGGGAGCGAUCCGG
RNAcentral lists this ribosomal RNA (253 nucleotides) under uncultured bacterium. RNAcentral's name for it is "partial 16S ribosomal RNA". It matches the Rfam family "Bacterial small subunit ribosomal RNA", at positions 524 to 776 of the family's 1533-position model. The record is from RNAcentral.